RNAcentral lists this ribosomal RNA (472 nucleotides) under uncultured bacterium. RNAcentral's name for it is "partial 16S ribosomal RNA". It matches the Rfam family "Bacterial small subunit ribosomal RNA", at positions 28 to 523 of the family's 1533-position model. The record is from RNAcentral.
GACGAACGCUGGCGGCGUGCUUAACACAUGCAAGUCGAACGGGAGUAUCAAAGAAGCUUGCUUUUAAGAUACUUUGGUGGCGGACGGGUGAGUAACGCGUGAGGAGCUGUCCUAUGCAGUGGGACAACAGCUGGAAACGGCUGCUAAUACCCCAUAAGCCGAGAGGUAAAAGGAUUUAUCCGGCAAAGGAGGCACUCGCGUCCUAUCAGCUAGUAGGUUGGGUAACGGCCGACCUAGGCGAAGACGGGUAGCCGGCCUGAGAGGGCGAACGGCCACACUGGAACUGAGAUACGGUCCAGACUCCUACGGGAGGCUGCAGUGGGGAAUAUUGGGCAAUGGGGGCAACCCUGACCCAGCGACGCCGCGUGGGUGAAGAAAUCCUUCGGGAUGUAAAGCCCUGUUGUAUGGGAAGAGCAGAAGACGGUACCAUACGAGGAAGCCCCGGCAAACUACGUGCCAGCAGCCGCCGUAA